UACGUAGGGACCAAGCGUUGUCCGGAAUCAUUGGGCGUAAAGCGCGCGCAGGCGGUCUUCCAAGUCAGUGGUGAAAGCCCGGAGCUCAACUCCGGAACUGCCAUUGAAACUGUUAGACUUGAGGAUGAGAGAGGUGAGUGGAAUUCCCAGUGUAGAGGUGAAAUUCGUAGAUAUUCGCAAGAACACCAGUGGCGAAGGCGGCUCACUGGCCCGGUACUGACGCUGAGGUGCGAAAGCGUGGGGAGCAAACAGG
Molecule: ribosomal RNA, 253 nt
Filed under: uncultured bacterium
Lineage: Bacteria
Description: partial 16S ribosomal RNA
Rfam family: Bacterial small subunit ribosomal RNA
Source: RNAcentral